AAAAUUACAAGAUGUUCAAAAAGACCUAUAAUGUGCAUGAAGCUAACAGAACUAGCUACUACAAAGUAAAAUAAUUUGAUUCCUAGAGAACUAGCUAUUACAACAGAAACUGUUGCAUGAAAAAUCUCCUGCAUGUGUAUGUGAAUCCAAUUGGCCAAGGCAAAUACCAAGUAGCACCUAUCAAGCUCUCACCAGGCACCAGAGUAUGCAUUCGUAAAGCCAAAAUGAAUUUUAAGAAAAUACACCAAUGGAUAGAAUCGAACAAAGUCCUCCAAUCAUAUGAACACCAUACCAGAGCUUAAAUUAGGGAAUAGUAGCAGAAAUCUCAAACGAUUACUCUACUGUGAAACUGCAACUUCAUAUAAUAUAAAGAGAGCACAUCAAAUGCCAUUGUAAUCCAGAAUUGCUCUCUUAAUUUAUUCAGAACCAAGAUCCUAUAGCCAUUUUCAAAAUGUGAAUUGGAACCUUAUCAUCCUUAAGACUUUCAAAAGUGAUGCCUGACUAGAGCCAACCUGACUGGGAUAUACUGAUUAAUUGUGCAAUGCACAGCUCUACUCUUCAUCAAUAUAUGAUACCUCUCUUAUGAUCUCCUUCCAUGUAAUCUUAGAUCAUCCUCAUAUUGAGCAUGGAACCAUGCUAACACCACUGAGUAACACUCUACUAUCACACAGAAAGAAACCACAAACUGCGACAUUAUACACAAAACAUCAAAUAAACUUUAAUGCCUUAUCUACCAUCAUCUAUAAAAAAGGCUUAGGUAGAACCAAUAUUUCGUGUGCAUCAGUCUGGGGCUUUCCUUUUUGCAACUUUAAAUCUGAGUGAUUUAAUUAGGAUGGAUCACAUCACUCUGAAUUUUGAAAGUUUAACUAAUUGAAACAGGACAAUUUACCAGAGCUUUGAACGUAUAAAUUGAACUACUUUAAAUUCACCACUCCAUCAAGGAAGGGAUUCCCCUAGGCUUAAACUACCGACCCUACGCGUAAAGGGGAGUAGCUGAUCUCCAACUCAGGCCCAAUCCCGAGCCCAAGUCCUUGGGGCAGCUAGUCAACAGUAGAAAAUGGGACUACAUAUCAAAUCCUUAAACAUGCAAAUGUUGAAUUAUUUAUAGCAAGCAGUGUGAGUCCAAUUUCAAAGUUCUAAAGUUAAUGCUAAGCCCAUUAUGCCUCUAUUGAUUCUACCAUGGAAUGGGCUUGACUUAACAAAUUAAAGACUUGAUUUCGAAACACUAAUCAAUUAUCAGGCUUUUAUGACUCCACAUUACACAACUGCUUGGCAGCCUUGGCUAUUGAAACAGACCUACAAUUUACGAAUGAGCUACUGGGCUCGAAUAACAAGCCCAAAAUAAAGCAUCAACCUAUUUUAAAGGCAGGCCCUCCCAAGGCCAUGUGCUCAAUGAGACCAAACCAUGAUGGAUUAGGGUUGAGGAUCACAAACCUAAUAUCGAGUUUCUGCCAAAACAGGUGAUCAUUCACAUUUAGUCACAAGCCAACAUGUUUCACUAACAAUCAGUAAUUAGUACAUCAAGGUACUUUUCUACAUUAUCAGGUGAGGCUGUUUGAUUGCAGAUUAUAAAAUGCCUAUUUUUAAACUAGACUUGCCCAAUCCUCAUGGAAAUCAAACCAGGAACUUUCAAUCUUGACCCCAUUCAAUCCAUAAACAUAACAUGCUAGUUAUUGGGAUAUUAAGAAAACCAAGCUAAACUCAUUCUUUAAGAAAUAAAUACCAGAAUCAAAGAUGGAACUGACAUGCAAAUAAUCAUUAUAACUCAUUCUAUGGCCUUUUAUACUUAAGAUGAAUUUGACUUCAGCAUUUGAAAUAAGCUGACAACAAUAACCUCAAUAAACUUCCAUGCAAAGAGAUAAGAUGACUAAACUUAAAUGCAUACAUGAGUUUCAAUUAAAACUGAGAAUAAUGAGAACCCAAAAUACAAUCAACCUUGACUAAACCUACAGUUAGUCAGGCUUCCAGAAUAGUUCAUAAUCAUGCUAAAGUCCAAUUAUACAAUACCAAAUUCAAUUACAAACUCAAAUGGCCAAAGUGUGGCCCAAGUUCCAUAGCAUCCCUAUGUCACAUAUACUAAUAGCACUCAUUUACUUGAACUAAAAUUCAGUCUAUUGAGACAACAAACAGAUGUCGAAUGUAAAAUCAAGUAGUACUAUUAAAUUAACAGAGCUUAGGAAUGCCAUGCUUCAACUCAGCUUUUCAUUUCAAUCUCCAGAUUUACUUCACAACAUUGAGGAUCAAAGUAGAUACCUGGAUAUAACCAAAAUAGCUACAGAAUUUCAGCAAAAAAGUGGUAAGGUCAGCAGUGGUUAAACAACAAAACAACUAGUAGGAUCAACUUCAGCAAAAUAGUCCCAAUCGAACAGUAACCCAACAAGCUUUAAACCAAUUUGAAGACCAAAUUCAACCCAUUUGUGUGCUCAGUUGAGUCUAGAUUAUUUUAGAAAUUGAAAAGAAAAAAGAAUUGAAUAGGAGAGAUCCAAUGAAACAAUAAUUUUAGUCAUUUGUAUUGUUCUCUAUUUUUAACUGUUCAAUUCUGCCUUGAAAGGCAAAGAAAGAUGCCUUUAUAGGCAAGGAAAUAGGGCAACAAUAAAGGGAUUAGAUUUGCAUUUUAGUCCUUUUGAAUUUUUUUGUUUUAGCUAACCAAUCCUUAGUUAAAAAGCAGAAAUUCAAUUUAAACCCCCACCCAGCUUCCUAGAAUCUUCUCUUUCAGUUAUACAAAAAUUCCAUAUCCCAAACUACCCAAAUUACCCCUCAGUUACCUUGUUUUUAACCCUGAACCUUAAAUAGACUAUGGGUCAAAUUCACCCUGGGUCAAAUCCAUUAGGAACCCAGCCCAAACCUGGGCUGCAAAACCUGGAUUGACUUCCCUUUUCUUUGGGCUUGCCAGGCUAGAACGAAUCUCUUCUUGGGCUUCUGAAUUUCAGGGUUUGAGUUCAAUUGAAAGACAAAACCAUACAUCCCAAAAGCUAAUAGAGUCCUAAAGACUCUGAAACUCUGAGUCCCCAAAGGAAAAGUAGAGAUAGAAAAGCCCAACUUCGUAUAGACUCACAACCAGAAGACAAAACUAAUCAAAUGUAAAAAUACAUGCAAGCUUGGAUGGUUUAGAGAAAUAAAAGAAAAACAGAAAAAUAAGAACCAAAAAGAUAAAAGAAAGAAAAUAACAACUGAGAAUAGAACUAGGAAAAAUGAAAUUUAAAUAUCGGAAUACAAAGAGAAAAAUACCUAUGAAAUCCAAUUAACUUCAAAGUCUUCAAUAACAAAGAUGACUUGAACUCCGGCGAAUCCAAAGCUUGACUAAACGAUGAGAACCACAAAAAUAUUAGCCGAAAUUUUGUUCAUGGCUAAUUAUUCAUGCAACAAUCAUCAACGUGUGUCAAGAGGAUAUGGAACAGGGGCUCGAAAGAAUGAGAAACUUCAUGAACCAAUUGUCUGAACUUUGACCAAAUUGACAAGAAGGUCUUAUUGAUUGUUCAAACAAAGUUAUCUUGUUAAAGAUCUAGGUAAUUCACAAGGUGUUUACUACGGACUGAAGAUUUAACCUGAAAAAUCUGAGAAAAUGAGGAAUAGAUCGGAUUUUUAUGCUGUGAUCUGAAAUUUAGAGAAAUCGGGUGGUCUUUUGGAGAAACUAAUGGUAGGACAAGAAUGAGGAGAUGAUGGGGAUCAACUGGUUAAAAUUUGGAUAGAUUUGGCGUGUGCUCCGCCGCCGUGAAGCGAUUUCCGGGCCGCGGGGCGAUGGUUGAAGGAGGCGGUGAUUUCAGAGAAAAAGAUAUUAGGUUUUAUUUGGAAUGGACUAAAACGAAAGACCAGUAGGUGAGUUUGGUCGUUUAAUGACGGGGACAGAUGAAACGACAUAGUUUGGCAUCAUAACUACAUCAUUUGGUGAGUCGGACCGAUAUGCGUUUGGAUUUUGGGCUGAUUCUAGUCUGGAAUGAACUUUGGGCAUUAUUUGGACUAAUUUGGGAGGUUUCAAAAU
RNAcentral lists this long non-coding RNA (3979 nucleotides) under Nicotiana benthamiana. Its description in RNAcentral is "long non-coding RNA (NBEN_LNC023878)". The record is from RNAcentral. Lineage: Eukaryota; Viridiplantae; Streptophyta; Magnoliopsida; Solanales; Solanaceae.